GGGGAAUAUUGCACAAUGGGGGAAACCCUGAUGCAGCCAUGCCGCGUGUGUGAAGAAGGCCUUCGGGUUGUAAAGCACUUUCAGCGAGGAGGAAAGGUUGGUAGCUAAUAACUGCCAGCUGUGACGUUACUCGCAGAAGAAGCACCGGCUAACUCCGUGCCAGCAGCCGCGGUAAUACGGAGGGUGCAAGCGUUAAUCGGAAUUACUGGGCGUAAAGCGCACGCAGGCGGUUGGAUAAGUUAGAUGUGAAAGCCCCGGGCUCAACCUGGGAAUUGCAUUUAAAACUGUCCAGCUAGAGUCUUGUAGAGGGGGGUAGAAUUCCAGGUGUAGCGGUGAAAUGCGUAGAGAUCUGGAGGAAUACCGGUGGCGAAGGCGGCCCCCUGGACAAAGACUGACGCUCAGGUGCGAAAGCGUGGGGAGCAAAC
Molecule: ribosomal RNA, 425 nt
Filed under: uncultured bacterium
Lineage: Bacteria
Description: bacterial SSU rRNA
Rfam family: Bacterial small subunit ribosomal RNA
Source: RNAcentral